GAUCGGGAGAAUGCCUCAAUUCUAUCCCAGGAUGAGAAACCGCUUCUCUCCAUUGUCGGUGCGGUUAUCACUUUUAGAGAUAUUAGCGAACGCCUUGCUGUGGAACGGAUGAAAGAUGAAUUCAUUUCGGUAGUCAGUCACGAAUUGCGAACACCUUUAACAGCAAUUCGGGGGUCGCUG
RNAcentral lists this unclassified non-coding RNA (180 nucleotides) under plant metagenome. RNAcentral describes it as "partial contains 5.8S ribosomal RNA, internal transcribed spacer 2, and large subunit ribosomal RNA". The record is from RNAcentral.